Molecule: non-coding RNA, 71 nt
Organism: Hamiltosporidium tvaerminnensis
Lineage: Eukaryota; Fungi; Microsporidia; Dubosqiidae
Source: the annotation of a GenBank genome assembly
GGUUUAAUGGUCUAGUGGUGAGGAUAUCGGAAUUAAUUUCUGGAGGGCCGGUUUCGAUUCCUGUUUGGCCA